This is a long non-coding RNA of Astyanax mexicanus (Mexican tetra), 391 nucleotides long. RefSeq lists it as uncharacterized. The record is from RefSeq and is a predicted model, not a curated record. Lineage: Eukaryota; Metazoa; Chordata; Actinopteri; Characiformes; Acestrorhamphidae. The transcript has 3 exons.
CUUACGUCAUGGGAUGCGCGUUCCCGAGAAGUAGGCUGUCCCAAUUCUUAGAUACCUUAAAAUGCUGUCUACUAAGAUACCUUAUUCUGACCCUGUAAUAAGAGAGCAUUAGACCCUUCCUCAGCCGGUAAGGCAAUCCCAUGAUGCAGCGCGGGCAGCACAGCGUAGCUCAACUUCUUCCAUCAUGGCGGACGGAAGUGGAUCGGCCAGCGGCGAAGUCAUUUUCAAAUGACUAUUGUUCUGGAAUUGGGGCUUGCGGACAAAGUAAAAGAAAUGGGAAAACUUAAAAAAUAAAUACAAUGCUGAACAACAUCUCCCGCUCCCAUGCAGAUGUUGUGCAGAGUGACACAGGCAGCAAUCACCUCUGGCACAUACCUUGGGUUCACUUCUU